AUGAACGCUGGCGGCGUGCCUAAUACAUGCAAGUCGAGCGAACAGAUGAGGAGCUUGCUCCUCUGACGUUAGCGGCGGACGGGUGAGUAACGCGUGGAUAACCUACCUAUAAGACUGGGAUAACUUCGGGAAACCGGAGCUAAUACCGGAUAAUAUAUUGAACCGCAUGGUUCAAUAGUGAAAGACGGUUUUGCUGUCACUUAUAGAUGGAUCCGCGCCGCAUUAGCUAGUUGGUAAGGUAACGGCUUACCAAGGCAACGAUGCGUAGCCGACCUGAGAGGGUGAUCGGCCACACUGGAACUGAGACACGGUCCAGACUCCUACGGGAGGCAGCAGUAGGGAAUCUUCCGCAAUGGGCGAAAGCCUGACGGAGCAACGCCGCGUGAGUGAUGAAGGUCUUCGGAUCGUAAAACUCUGUUAUUAGGGAAGAACAAAUGUGUAAGUAACUAUGCACGUCUUGACGGUACCUAAUCAGAAAGCCACGGCUAACUACGUG
Molecule: ribosomal RNA, 496 nt
Filed under: uncultured bacterium
Lineage: Bacteria
Description: partial 16S ribosomal RNA
Rfam family: Bacterial small subunit ribosomal RNA
Source: RNAcentral